UGCUCUGGGAGAGUUUAUAGUCCUGAGAGUUGAAGACUGGAUGACUGACAGCUGUCCUUCAUCACAACAGAAGACUUGGAAAUCCUCCUGAUCAAAACCAUGACUUUGAUCUGCGUCCUCAUCUGGACUCUCCUCUGCUGCUGCUUCACAGAGUCCAGAGGUCAGGUCACAGUGACUCAGUCUGCAGCAGUGAGCUCUGCUGUGGGACGCUCCGUCUCCAUCUCAUGUAGGACCAGUCAGGAUGUCUAUAACAACAAUGAAUUAGCCUGGUACCAACAGAAAGAUGGACAACCUCCUAAACUUCUCAUUUAUGACGCUACCCGCCGACAAUCAGGAAUCUCAGAUCGUUUUUCAGGCAGUGGAUCUGGAUCUGACUUCACUCUGACCAUCAGUGGAGUUCAGGCUGAAGAUGCUGCAGUUUAUUACUGUCAGAGUUUUCAUUAUAUAAACAGCCAGAAUCUGUUCACACAGUGA
Molecule: non-coding RNA, 474 nt
Organism: Nothobranchius furzeri (turquoise killifish)
Lineage: Eukaryota; Metazoa; Chordata; Actinopteri; Cyprinodontiformes; Nothobranchiidae
Source: the annotation of a RefSeq genome assembly